This 546-nucleotide ribosomal RNA is filed under the name Triticum aestivum (bread wheat). Its description in RNAcentral is "partial small subunit ribosomal RNA". The record is from RNAcentral. Lineage: Eukaryota; Viridiplantae; Streptophyta; Magnoliopsida; Poales; Poaceae.
AUGGAUCAAAGAAGAGAAAGCUUCAAUCAAGAAUGCAUCAACCAGUCAUGCAAAGGGGAGAAGAAGGUACCAUGUCAUUUUCUAAUUUCCCUUGUGCUGGUACUACCGGCCGGUGCUGCUCGUCGCCUCGACGUCACUGCAGCAGCAAGAUCCUCGUGGAAGAGGCCUGCAGUAGCACCAACCCGCCCCGGCGCGGUGGAGACCACAGCCAUGACACGCCGCUCCUCCGAGCGGCCCUCGGCCUGGCUCUCCGCAGCGCAGCCGCAUCACGCGGCGGAGGAGGCCCCGUGCUCAAGUCUGAGCACCUGCGGCAGUCGGCGUAGCCCUGGCGCACAACACUGCGCGGGCCUCAACGCCGUCGACACGGCACGACGCCCGGCCUGCACGUGCAGGCGGCUGCCUCGAAACACUCUCUGUCCACAACGACGGAGACCUGCGACGCUCCCCCGCUUUGUCCGGUGUGCUGCGCAGCGGCGCUCUCCCAUCACGGCUCGCGGUGGAGCCUGCAACAUCGCCCUCGGCGCUGUUUGCUCCCGCGGCUCUUGA